GAGAACAUGAGUGACCCAGAACCCUGCAGAAUGAAACCUGAAGAUACUGAAGAGAAAACUGGCCUGAUGAUAAUUAAUGAAGAAAGA
Sinocyclocheilus grahami is the source of this 87-nucleotide long non-coding RNA. RefSeq lists it as uncharacterized. The transcript has 4 exons. The record is from RefSeq and is a predicted model, not a curated record. Lineage: Eukaryota; Metazoa; Chordata; Actinopteri; Cypriniformes; Cyprinidae.